GCUGGCGGCAUGCCUUACACAUGCAAGUCGAACGGCAGCACGGGAGCAAUCCUGGUGGCGAGUGGCGAACGGGUGAGUAAUACAUCGGAACGUGCCCAGUUGUGGGGGAUAGCCCGGCGAAAGCCGGAUUAAUACCGCAUACGACCUACGGGUGAAAGCGGGGGAUCGCAAGACCUCGCGCAAUUGGAGCGGCCGAUGUCAGAUUAGGUUGUUGGUGGGGUAAAGGCCUACCAAGCCGACGAUCUGUAGCUGGUCUGAGAGGACGACCAGCCACACUGGGACUGAGACACGGCCCAGACUCCUACGGGAGGCAGCAGUGGGGAAUUUUGGACAAUGGGGGAAACCCUGAUCCAGCCAUCCCGCGUGUAUGAUGAAGGCCUUCGGGUUGUAAAGUACUUUUGGCAGAGAAGAAAAGGUAUCUCCUAAUACGAGAUACUGCUGACGGUAUCUGCAGAAUAAGCACCGGCUAACUACGUGCCAGCAGCCGCGGUAAUACGUAGGGUGCAAGCGUUAAUCGGAAUUACUGGGCGUAAAGCGUGUGUAGGCGGUUCGGAAAGAAAGAUGUGAAAUCCCAGGGCUCAACCUUGGAACUGCAUUUUUAACUGCCGAGCUAGAGUAUGUCAGAGGGGGGUAGAAUUCCACGUGUAGCAGUGAAAUGCGUAGAUAUGUGGAGGAAUACCGAUGGCGAAGGCAGCCCCCUGGGAUAAUACUGACGCUCAGACACGAAAGCGU
Molecule: ribosomal RNA, 732 nt
Filed under: uncultured soil bacterium
Lineage: Bacteria
Description: bacterial SSU rRNA
Rfam family: Bacterial small subunit ribosomal RNA
Source: RNAcentral